This 649-nucleotide ribosomal RNA is filed under the name Salmonella enterica subsp. enterica serovar Kentucky. RNAcentral describes it as "partial 23S ribosomal RNA". It matches the Rfam family "Bacterial large subunit ribosomal RNA", at positions 670 to 1315 of the family's 2925-position model. Lineage: Bacteria; Pseudomonadati; Pseudomonadota; Gammaproteobacteria; Enterobacterales; Enterobacteriaceae. The record is from RNAcentral.
AGGGAAACCGAGUCUUAACCGGGCGUUAAGUUGCAGGGUAUAGACCCGAAACCCGGUGAUCUAGCCAUGGGCAGGUUGAAGGUUGGGUAACACUAACUGGAGGACCGAACCGACUAAUGUUGAAAAAUUAGCGGAUGACCUGUGGCUGGGGGUGAAAGGCCAAUCAAACCGGGAGAUAGCUGGUUCUCCCCGAAAGCUAUUUAGGUAGCGCCUCGUGAACUCAUCUUCGGGGGUAGAGCACUGUUUCGGCUAGGGGGUCAUCCCGACUUACCAACCCGAUGCAAACUGCGAAUACCGAAGAAUGUUAUCACGGGAGACACACGGCGGGUGCUAACGUCCGUCGUGAAGAGGGAAACAACCCAGACCGCCAGCUAAGGUCCCAAAGUCACAGUUAAGUGGGAAACGAUGUGGGAAGGCUCAGACAGCCAGGAUGUUGGCUUAGAAGCAGCCAUCAUUUAAAGAAAGCGUAAUAGCUCACUGGUCGAGUCGGCCUGCGCGGAAGAUGUAACGGGGCUAAACUGUGCACCGAAGCUGCGGCAGCGACGCUUAUGCGUUGUUGGGUAGGGGAGCGUUCUGUAAGCCUGCGAAGGUGUCCUGUGAGGGAUGCUGGAGGUAUCAGAAGUGCGAAUGCUGACAUAAGUAACGAUAA